Long non-coding RNA from Pipra filicauda (Wire-tailed manakin), 1290 nucleotides. RefSeq lists it as uncharacterized. The record is from RefSeq and is a predicted model, not a curated record. Lineage: Eukaryota; Metazoa; Chordata; Aves; Passeriformes; Pipridae. The transcript is spliced from 5 exons.
ACACACACAAAAAAAACCCUCAAAAAACCAAAAAAACCCCCAUACACUUCAAAAUAAAGAAUUGUGAUUAACCCCUCUGAAUUCUUCAAGUGACUAACCUUACAGUUGUAUUAGUUAUAGAUCCCAGAGCACAGUCUGGAAAUGGGAGUGUGGCAACAGCAUCCAAAGAUGCCAAAUCCAAGAUCAGGCUCCUGUCCAGCAGCUGAAGAGGCUCCUCCAUCAGACCAUUCCUCACUUUCCUCCUCGUGAGAAGUGAACGUUCCAUCACUGUCAUGGACUCACAACUUGUGACCACACCAUUGUAACAGGAGCAGGAUAAGGGAUUUGUACUUAUCUGGCCAAGCUUUUCCAUUUGGAAGCAAGAGGAAUCAGCUGGAAAUUCAAACAACAGACCCAAAGCAAACCACAAAUGAGUCCAGCCCAAUGGAAGCACCUGCAGUGAUUUAACAUAAAAAUCUUGAGCCUGCCAAGAACUUUUAAAGUCCAUCCUCAGGCAACCCGUUACACAAACCUGGCUCUAGGAAAGCAACUCAGGAGGGCACUUACCUCAAAAUAAAAUAAAAAACCUCCAGCCUGACAGUGAUUUCUUUCCCAUCACUGCAGACAAGGACAAUGCUGAUGAGAAAUUGUACCUGUGACUGUCCCAGGAAAGCUCCCCAGCAGUGCUCCAGCCACACCACCAUGGCCAGAUGCUGCUGGAUGUCCUGAGCUGCCAUAACCCGAGUAUGGCUCACUGUUCUUCAGGAAACUCGUUUGGAUGAGCUUGGGGAUCAAGGUGGGUGUAAUCUUUGAUUUGGAGGAGGGAUUUUCCAGGAGGAAUAAGGAGAUGGGCUGAUGACAUCAAACAAACCACCCAGCUGGUCCCAUGUGAUGAUCUUGGUGGGGCACCUGUGUCUCUCAGCCUAUUUUAGGGCAGCAGCAGCCCUCUUUCCUCUUUCUCCUGGUUUCCUGAGGGCUCUGUGCUGCUCUGCUCCCUGAUGUCCCAGCACUCUGUGUUUCCUGGGAGUGGAAGAUGGACUCCAGCACGAGAGGUAGGUGCAAGUAGGACAGAGGAUUGAACAAUUGUCAGAGGAGAUUUUUAUUUUCCAGGAGAAUUAUUUGGGUAUGAUAGUAAUUAAAAUGUUUGUGUAUAUGCAGCCUGUAUGUCAUGCUCAUACUUUUCUCUUUUGAGGGGUGAACUUCUAAGCCAUUUGAAUUAUGUUUUUUAUUGCUGUGAAAUCUGAAAUUAGUGAAGAACUUCAGGAAAGCAGUUGCUAUUUUUUUUUUGCAGUUACAACAGAAAACAACAGG